CGCUGAGUUUGAUCCUGGCUCAGGAUGAACGCUAGCGGCAGGCUUAACACAUGCAAGUCGAGGGGUAUAGUUCUUCGGAACUAGAGACCGGCGCACGGGUGCGUAACGCGUAUGCAAUCUACCUUUUACAGAGGGAUAGCCCAGAGAAAUUUGGAUUAAUACCUCAUAGUAUAGUACAACCGCAUGGUUGAACUAUUAAAGUCACAACGGUAAAAGAUGAGCAUGCGUCCCAUUAGCUAGUUGGUAAGGUAACGGCUUACCAAGGCAACGAUGGGUAGGGGUCCUGAGAGGGAGACUCCCCACACUGGUACUGAGACACGGGACCAGACUCCGUACGGGAGGCAGCAGUGA
Molecule: ribosomal RNA, 351 nt
Filed under: uncultured Flavobacterium sp.
Lineage: Bacteria; Pseudomonadati; Bacteroidota; Flavobacteriia; Flavobacteriales; Flavobacteriaceae
Description: bacterial SSU rRNA
Rfam family: Bacterial small subunit ribosomal RNA
Source: RNAcentral